This 477-nucleotide long non-coding RNA is filed under the name Homo sapiens (human). Its description in RNAcentral is "HSALNT0064297". The record is from RNAcentral. Lineage: Eukaryota; Metazoa; Chordata; Mammalia; Primates; Hominidae.
CCGGACACACUAGCAUGUUAUUGUACUGAAUACUGAAGGAAACUGCAACACAAUGGUCUUCAGAAUACCAGUUAUGCUGGGAAGCACAGCAGACUGUUCUCAUCAAAGAAGAACUUAUCAUAAAUUAUUUUACCGGUAGCUGAAAAGCAAGCCGAGGGAGACUCUGAGAGCUGUAGCAGCAUGCUAGAUGAUGGAAUAGCAGUGCCCUGGGCAGCAGAAGAAAGUCCUGAGACAGAACACCCAGGACAGCAUACUUACCAUGGCUUCCCUGUCUCACAAGAUUCAUCCACAUCGAACUGCCCAAGAACAAAUGUACCACGGGCUAAUCUGGAGGGCAACUCCUCCAUCUUUCAUGAAAAGAUCAAGAAACGGAGGCAAAGAGAGAUUAAAGAGCUUGCCCAAACUUCACUCUUCUGCCUUCCCAUGAUGAGGCAGAUGAUAGAUUAGAGGUUUUCAGCACACCUCAACCACCUAGCA